CAGGAAAGUUGACAUUCACAGAGGGAGAGUCUCAAGCCUGAACUUUGAGAAGCGGCUAGGCAAAGUCUUAUCUCCCAGUUCAUUUCCUGAACAUGAUCCAACUACCAAGAGUGGGCUGAGAUGAACAUUGUAAAAGGCAGGUGCCGUCCCCCUGUCAGCUUGAUCUCAGGGCAUUUGGAAGAACAUGAACCCUCCUCUGGAUGGGGCAUAAGUGAGAUAAGAAGCAGGACCAUGCAGAAGGGAUUUCUGUCUUUGCUGGGUAUAUAACUAUAUAUCCUGGGCAGGGUAUCUGUUCAUGGAAGUGUGAUGUUUCACAAUUGAUUGUUAGAAAGACCAAGCUGUCUGAGAUCUCAACUAUACAGAUGACUCCAGGCCUCUUUCUAAUUACUGGGAUUUGCAGGAAAUCCUUUAUACUUUUCCAUCUAGAUCUACUGCCUCAUCUCUGGAUUCAUGUGAGCAAUCACACUCAAUGAGUAUCUCACCCCUCUCUCUAUACCACCUCUCUACUCAGAUUUCUUUACCCCCAAUACUGUCAUCUAUGUUCUUAAAAUAGUUUUUAUAUCAGUUUAGAGGACAUGCCUUGCUCCCAAAUUCCAGGAUGUACUCAACUUUUUGGUCUUCACAAGACUCUAUUUAGAAAUAAAGUUGACAAUCACAUUUAUUUGCUUAAAGCUUCAAAAUCUGAAAUGGCACAGAUCACCCAAAAGUUUCAUAAGUCCUAGGCUGCAAGGAUUAUGCUUUGGUGGACAAAAUCCAGAGAUUUGGUUGGAGAACAUGCACUCCAUGCUGACCAUGACCUGGCUUCUCUUUAUAGCGAUGUCAUGAUAAGAAAUGUGAGGUUUGGGUAUAACAAAGCUGUAUGAUGCAACAACUCUUGAUUCUCUCCCCUUGCCUGCCCUUCUCAUGUCCUCCUAAUGGAUCUUGUACCCAAAGCUAGCAGUGCCACCUCUUCAAGAGCAUGUGGAUUGGAACAGGUGGUGCCAAAACUAGGCGUUUGGAUUUGUUUACUGGUUGAAGCACCACAGCAGUGAUCUACAUCAUGUUCUACUCCAUGAUUGUAUGCCUGGUUUGUGUCUGUGUGUGUGUGUGUGUGUGUUGUCUCACUCAUGAUGCCUCUCCAUAGCCAACACUGAACUCUGACUUGCCACUACAUUUUCCUCAGUCAAUGAUUUCAAGGGUUGGGUCAUCCUACUCUUUCCAUGAAUUGCUUGCUUUCAAUAUCUGAGAGCUCACCUGGUCUUAGUGGCUCCAACCAGACCUGUCCAGAGCUAGUCACAUCUUCACUCAUAAACUCAUAGCUUGAGUUAGCUCUACUGACACUCUGGUGAAAUCUUCAUAACUAACAAUGUGACUUUUCUUUGAGCCACCAAUCUCUACAAGUCUGAGGAUCUUCCCUGGGUGAUUGUUCACUUCAGAGGUCUCAUCCCUACUACUCCUCAUUGUCCUGACCUAAUUUCUAAGCAUCCUUUCUUUCUCAAAUAAUUGAUUAUGAAUCUUAAGGAGGGAAAAUCCAACCCUGGACAGUACAUGCAAAGUGAGCUUUCAACUUCACUUAGAUAAAGUUUCUAAUGAAGCAGAGGCCUAGAUUUCUGACUUUGAAAGGAGGAUUAUAACUAAUGGCUUCCAUUGUGACCCCAGAGGCCCCUGAAAAUGGCACCUUGGUUUCAAGUCACUUUUGGGUGAGGUAUGAGACAGGGAUGUAACAACUAUACCAUGUGACAUCAGCACAUGGACAUUCUACUGUAUCCUGGAGAGCCCUGGCAUUCCAUGUGAUGUCACCAGUGUUGUGGCAACACCAACUGUCAUUGGGGCAUUUGUGCAGUGUCUCACGUUUCACCUACAGACAUGCUGACUAGACUGAACAGGAUUCUUGGGAGACAGGAUGGCGAGCACAGGGAGACCAAAGGGAGGCAGAAGGAAGAUGCCCUUCAGUCUCCAUGUCACACAUCAAGAAAUAAAUGGUUCUGGGGAAAGCGCAGUGAGUCCUGGGAAAGGGAUGGGGAGCUUCCUGAAGGAGGAAGGCUUCAGCUGAUCCUUCUAGGAGUGGGGCUAAGGGGGUGAGAGUUUCUGAGAAGCCAUGGGCCUAUCCUAGUCCUCUGAGUUCUUCAAGAGCAGAACAAAGUUGUGGAUUUUUCAAGGUUAGUUUGGCAGAGAGCCAGGAAUGGUCAAGGCUGCAGCUGCUCUGUUGAGGGCCCUCUGCUUUCACUCUGAGUGGGAAGGAAGCACAGAGGGACUAAAGAGGUUUCAGUACCAGCCCUGCACUUCACCCACACUGGAUGUCUUUUGGUGUGUGUCACUAAUAACAAGGAGAGUAAAGUCCUCUGGCCAGAGCUAGAGGUUCUCACAGUUUAAAUAACAACCACUAGCAGGGCAGGAGCCACCAAGUAUUGCUGCAUGUCAGUGACCCCUAAGGUUUCUGAGUUCCUUUCCUCUCACUCGCCAGUCAUCUUCCCUCUACCUGAGUGCAAACUGGGACAUCACUCUUCCUGUAAGUAUUUGUUCUUGGUGUCAGAGGGCUCACCUGUGGAUGCCAAGUCCUUAGGUAUUUUCAGUCAUACCUUUCAAUAAUUGAUAACUCCUUUGCUAACAUCAUGAUGGUUAGAAUGUAUUCUGCUGAAGUUUUGGCAAAAGUUUCAUCAUUACCUAUAUGACUUAUCAUUGUUCUGACAGGACCCAUAUAAUCCUUCACCACCCCCAUACAUUGUAACAGCCCCGUGGAUCUUCUCCAAUGUGCUUGUUCACCUUGUGGAACUGAUCUUCCUUCCUCAUUAUCCUGAGCUAAUUUCUUAGUAUCCUUUAUUUCUCAUCUUAUUAUUUAGCAUUCUUCAGUAUGAGAAGAGCCAUUCCUGGCCAGUGUUUGGAAAUUGAGUCUUGCCCUCCAUACAUGAUGAACUAUUGAAUUAGAAUGAACUAGAUUCUAAUGAAUCAUUGAGAUCUCUGGAUUGAAAUGACGAGGUGCUCAAGGCCCUGCUCUGUCUCAGGGAAGGCUGCUGGAAAGAGGAGCUUGGCUUUUGGUGAAUUGGGGAAGAGUUUGUUAUCAGAUAGAUGAUGACAUUAGCAGUGAUCUUAACAGUCCCUUCUCUGGAAAUUCUAUUGUAUCCUGGAGAGUCAUUGGCAUCUUCUGUGAAAUCACCAGUGUUGUGGCAAUGCCAACUGCCCUUGAGGCAUUUAUUAAGAGCUCACAGGUUCACCAAUUGACAUGUUGACAAAACUGAGCACACUGAUUCACAUAGAAAGCACUGGUUUUCUAAACAGGAGUUGAUGCCACAAUUGGUCCUUCUCUUAAUGGGGUGCAGUAGCUGUGAACAUCUGAAGCAAUGGCCCUAUGCAGCUUACCUGGGUUGCUAAAGAGCAGAUUCAAAGUGGAGGAUUUCUGAGGGCAGAGGGCCAGGAAAUGUCAGGGAUGCAGCUGCUGUGCUGGGACCUUUUCCAGUUCAUUAUGAUUGGCAAAGAAUGCUAAAGGAGGCCCAGAGGUAUCAGGUUAGGAUGUUGCUGCACUUCAUUCUCAGUGGAUUUCUGUAGAUUUCAUGGAUAUCUGAUAUAAAUACCAGGAAGGAAAACUUUCCAUCCAUGUACCCAGGUCUGAGACAUUCAGUUGCUUUUAGUCCUGCACACAGAUUAUCAGGGCUGAGAGAUGCGAAGCACCAGGCAGUCCAGAACUUUCUUGCAUCACAUUAGGUAUCUGGUGAGAAUUCCAAACCAACAUGACUGGCCUCGCUUAUGCCUUUCAGGGACAGUGGGGCUGAAGUUGAAGUAGGGUCUGAGGCAUAUAUUUAUCCCUAGAGAUUGGAGAUAGACACAUGGCUUAUGGUCCCCAGUUUAAGAAUAUCUGCUCGGAUUUUUGAGGGCUUCACUGGGUGCCAUGCAUUUCCUCUUCCUCAGGACUCCUCUUGGGACUCCACAUGAUCUCUCUUGGCCCUAUGCCAUUCAUCUGGACAAAUUCACUUGUGUUUAUGUACCUACAGGGACUACUAGGAAGGCAUCAUCCACACCCUUCUUCCUCACUGAGCAGGAGCAACAGCUGAACCAGGUGGAUAAACUGACCCUUCAGCUACAGAUGAUGACCAAUGAGAGGAAUGAACUGCUGGAACUCCUGGCCCUUUAUAACAACAAUGAGUCGAACAACAGGCUGAUAUCUGAGCUUGAGAUGCUGAAAAUACAGCAUGAGAAGGAGAUGUCAGAUGUGAAGAAAUUCCCCAAGGAGAUUACUGAGGCAUCGUACAAGUGCAAGGAGCUGAGUGAGCAGACCAACUCCUACCGCACCCUCUACAGUCAGCUCCUGAGGGAAAGGACUCAGCUAAAGGAAAAAGUGAGCAUGUUGAAAGAGGACAACAGAAAGCUGCAGGGGGAGCAGAUUUUACUACAAGAGUCCUGUGACGAGGCAAGGAGGCUCAGUGUGGAGGCCUAUGGGAAGACCUAUGACCUCUGGACAAAGCAGCAGCAGGUUUGAAAACCUCCAGCAGGAACGGAGCAGACUACGGUCCAGGAUGAGACCCUCCUGCACAUGGAGCUGCUGAAGCAUAAACACUAUGUCCCAGGCAAGUAAUCCACCACUGAGCUCCAUCUCCAACAGCAGGGUGUUCAUGGGCACCUGUUAAGAAGACUGAGAAGGCUAGAAGCAGCCAGGACACCUUGAAGGCAUGACAUUCUACACUCCAGGUUUAAGGCCUCCUCAGAAAAUGCCACCUCUUUUCAGCUUUGAACUCACUAAUGAUGCAAAUAUCAACCUACCAUCAGGGGAUCCAGCCACAAUCUGAUCCACAUCUGUUGGCUCACUAUCCCCAGGGAAAAUUUUGUGUCAGAAAUAAGU
This is an RNA transcript of Peromyscus californicus insignis, 4810 nucleotides long. RefSeq lists it as uncharacterized. The record is from RefSeq and is a predicted model, not a curated record. The transcript is spliced from 5 exons. Lineage: Eukaryota; Metazoa; Chordata; Mammalia; Rodentia; Cricetidae.